Hirundo rustica (Barn swallow) is the source of this 1355-nucleotide long non-coding RNA. RefSeq lists it as uncharacterized. Lineage: Eukaryota; Metazoa; Chordata; Aves; Passeriformes; Hirundinidae. The record is from RefSeq and is a predicted model, not a curated record. The transcript has 3 exons.
GAGAAGGCACCCGUGGUCUGUGUUGUGUGAGGUGGUCACACAGCUCCAGGAGCUCAGCUUCUCCUCAGGGGAUUGAUAUUUAGAUGAGGUAUUGGGAAAACUUCCUCCAUGGAAACCUUGGAACAGGCUGCCCAGGGAAGCGGUGGAGCCAGCACCCCUGAGAGUGCGCAAAGAAGGUGCUGGAGGAUGUGGUUUAGAGAGCAUCAGACAAAUCAAGCGGAGGCAGAGAUCACUCCGUGGGAGGGAAAAGACCACGAGCUCCACGGGCACUGCCAGCUCACAGGAGAAAAAGAUAUUUAAACCACCCACUAAAUUUGUCCAGCAGAGACAGGAGAACAUGAAACCACUACAACAUCGCUGCUGUGCUACCCUGUGUCCCCUCAGCAACACAUCCUGAACACCAGAGGGGAAAAUUAAACCAUCCCAGCCUUGGAGCUCCAGACCUAAGAUACAUCCAAAGCCAGCUUUCCUGUUUCAGAAGUCCCUCGUUAUUCUGGCUUUUCUUACCCCGUUUUUUCUUGCUCCUCCUCUUCCUCACCCAAGCCUCAGGCAAAUCUUCAGCAGCAGAUCCGCGUCUCCAGAGCCUUCACACCAAAUUCUGCUCCGCCCAGCCUCUAACCAGCAACACCACGCAAAGCAUACAACCAAAAACUUCUCCCCCAACUCCACCACCAGCCUAAAAUCCUCCUCCCCACGCAGCCCUCUCCAGCUGGGCUCUGCCCCUUUCAGCUCUCACCGCACACAGCCGUGGCAGGCAGGGCUGGAUGGGCUGGCGGUGUGUGAGCACCAACCCUUCUGAGGGAAGGCACCCCAUGGGAAUGGAGGGUAAGCAAUCAAAUAUCACCUCUUUUCCCCCUCCAAAUUUAAGGAUUCAGGAAGUCAGGGAGAAGUUACUGCCUGUUUAGAAAGUAUUGUUCAUAUAGCAGCACUACAGGACCUGAUGCUCCUCUAGAGUGUUCUGGGACUGAGAAAAUGGCCUCAAGUUAUGUCAGGGGAGGACUGGAUUGAAUAUCAGGAAAAAUUUCUUCUUGGGAAGGAUUGUCAAACACCAGAACAGUGAAGUGGUGGAGCCACCAUCCCUGCAAAUGUUCAAAGGACAUGUGGAUGUGGCACUUGGGGACAUGGUUUAGUGGUGAGCACGGUGGUGGUGCCGAGCUGAACUUGAUCUUAAAGACCUUCUCCAUCCUUAAUGACUCCAUGAUUAUUCUGUGAGCUGCAGGUGACAUAAACCAAAGCUCCUCCUGCUGCUUUCUCCCAGGAUUGAAAUCAUGCAGGGUCUGGGACACAGUCCUAGCAACAACAGUUCCUAAUUUGUGAGAUGUCAAAGCUCUCUGCCAUCCUAUCCUUAGGGAUAA